This 255-nucleotide ribosomal RNA is filed under the name uncultured bacterium. RNAcentral's name for it is "partial 16S ribosomal RNA". It matches the Rfam family "Bacterial small subunit ribosomal RNA", at positions 15 to 235 of the family's 1533-position model. The record is from RNAcentral.
GAUCAUGGCUCAGGAUGAACGCUGGCGGCGUGCUUAACACAUGCAAGUCGAGCGAAGCACUUUACUUGGAUUUCUUUCGGAAUGACGAGUAUUGUGACUGAGCGGCGGACGGGUGAGUAACGCGUGGGUAACCUGCCUCAUACAGGGGGAGUAACAGUUAGAAAUAGACUGCUAAUACCGCCAUAAGAACCACAGCACCGCAUGGUGGCAGGGGUAAAAACGUAACCGGUCGGGUAGUUGAGGAAUGGACCCCGG